Molecule: long non-coding RNA, 2491 nt
Organism: Brassica rapa (field mustard)
Lineage: Eukaryota; Viridiplantae; Streptophyta; Magnoliopsida; Brassicales; Brassicaceae
Source: RefSeq, a predicted model, not a curated record
AUUGCUUUCUAGUAUUAGUAGUAGUUUAAAACCCAUCUAAAUCAUUGGUUGCACUUAGAUUAAGUGAGUACUUGCAUUCUCAGUGCUUUGAUAUCCCUCAGAACUGGUUCGACAAUCAUUUAUACUACAACAUUUGUCUUAGGAGCCUUGAAAACUCCUAACAUCAAUAUUCAUCAUGAUAUUUAAUUCUCCAUGAUUUUAAAUUAAAUCAUUAGUUUAAUUAAUAAUAUUAUUUAAAAUUUAUUUUAAUAUAUAUAUAUAUAUAUAUAUAUAUAUCAUGAUAUUUAGGAUAUUUAACUAAUAAAUAGAUAUUCACAAUAGAUAGUUUUUGUUGAUUUAUGUUCUCCAUAAUUUUAAAUAUGGGUCAUUAUUUUAAUUAAUAUAUUAUCUAUGCCAUUAAUAUUAUUAUCUAUCCUAUUAUUUAAUAUAUAUAUAUAUUUAUAUAUAUAUAUAUAUCACGAUAUUUAGAUUUAUCAUUUUUUCCUUGAUUUUAGGAUAAAUCAUUAGUGUAAUUAAUAGGGAAAAUUUGGAGAAAUGCAUUCAAAUAAGAUUAUAAUUUGAAAACUACACCCUUAUUUAAAAUUUUGGAAAAUAUACUUAUAUAUAUAUAUAAAUUUACCUAAUUGCCCAUUCUUAAUAUUUCUAAUAUAUUGUUUAAAUUUUUUUUUUAAAAAAAAUUGUAGUUUCUAAUAUAUUGUUUAAAAAUCUUUUUAAGAAAAAUCGUACAGAAUCUAUCUAAUAUCUUUUUAAUAUAUCUACAUAAUAUAUAUUUCUUAUUAUUUUGAAAAAAAAAGAAAUCAAAACCCAUAUCGUCUUCUCGUCUUCUUCUCCUUGCCAUUUCUGAAACUUUUCCCCUUUUUCUCUUAGUUUCACAGAUUCUUCCUCUUAGAAGUUUGUAGAUUCAUGAAUCAUAUUUCAGUUUCUAAUUCUGAUUCUAUUUUAUUCUGACAAUAAAUCUGUUUUAUCUUUCGUUUAGGAAAAUCAUGUUGCAUUUGACUGGAGUUUUAGGAGAGUGGAAGAUGAAUAAAGAAUCAUGGAGAUUAAAGGUGAAUACAAGAGCAGGAGGUAAAUUAUUUACCAUUAAGGAAGGCUUGAAGUUUGAUGAGAUGGUUGAGAUGGUUCAUGAAGAUUUUGGUAUAAAUAGGUUGGGUAAUGAGUUAGAACUUAGCUACGCACUACCAGAAUCAAUGCUUCGAGAUAUGCCUAAGGAUACACCUCCUGUUUUUGUGAACAAUGAUAGGCAAUUAGUUUCUGCGUCUUUGCAUCUCGGUGAAGAAUGGAAACCUAGGGAACCAUGAUCAAGGUUUCAGUCGUGAAGAUACUGCCAUUGAUGGAAAAAGGCAUGGAAAUAAGAAUAAGAAUGUUGAUAGACAGGAGAGUAAUCAGGAAUCAGAAGUGGAAGUUUCUAAUUUUCAUGAUGCAAAGGUCAUUGAAAAGGGACAAUGGUUCAAAAAUAAAUCAGAGCUGUCUUGGGGUAGUAGAGGAUAUAUAAUGUUUAUUGACUAUUGUUAUUUUAUUGACGUUUUAUGGGUUGUGAUUGUUUAUAAUAAUUUCAAUGCGAGUUGAACUUUUUUUUUGUCUACAAAUACAAUCUAUACUAUUAAAAGAGAAAUUUUCCGAAAAAUCUACUUAUACAAGAUUGUUGCACCAUUUUAUUAUACUACUAAUAUUUUGGUCUUACCUUAAAUAAAGACUAGCAAUAUGUUACCAUAUAUUUCUUGAACAAUAUCUAUAUUAUUAAAGGAGAAGUACUCAUUAAAAAAUACCCCUAAGUUUUCUAACUUAUUUACACUUCCAUGCCACUGAGAGUUAAAUUAAACUAUCAAUUUUAAUGCUUGUCUUUUCCAGUUAAAUUAAUGAGUUUCUUUAAUCAAAUUUAAAAUUUUUUUUUGGAUAAUUAUGCUAUUUCAAACUAUGAGAAAUAUUAUAGACGAUUCUACAACCGACAAUUCUACCUGCCUUAUUAGGAUUCAAGUCUAACUGCAUCACCUAAGCCGCCCUAUCGGAUCCACGCUUGAAGGUACUCCUUGCGCCAUGCUGCAGAUCUCUUGUAAGUCUUUUCUCCAUUAAUUCGCAUAAUUCCGCCUUCUCCGGGAAUCGAAACCCAGACCUCCUGGUGUAGAAGUAUUAAUGUACCCUUAGUCAAACCACUGGACCAAGUGGGCUUCCACAAAUCAAAUUUAAACUUAAUGUCAUUAAAUGAACCUACAUAUUUUAAUGUUUGUCUUUUUCCGUUAAAUUAAUGAGUUUUCCUUAAUCAAAUUUAAACGUAUGAUUUUUGCAUAAUACUUCAAAUUGAACAUUGAAACAGAUAGAAUAAUUUUUUAAUCUUUUACCGACACAGAACUUAAACAAAAUAAAGAGUUAAAUGUAUUUUUUUUGUUACACUUCCCGGAAAAAAACGGUUACAACAUGGGCUUUCAUAAUAUGGCAUUUUAACAUAUUAAUGUUAUGGACAUUUAAUAAUUAUCUUGACGAAAAACAGAGACUA